GACGAACGCUGGCGGCGUGCUUAACACAUGCAAGUCGAACGGAAAGGCCCUGCUUGCCGGGUACUCGAGUGGCGAACGGGUGAGUAACACGUGGGUGAUCUGCCCUGCACUUCGGGAUAAGCCUGGGAAACUGGGUCUAAUACCGGAUAGGAGCCAUUUUUAGUGUGAUGGUUGGAAAGUUUUUUCGGUGUAGGAUGAGCUCGCGGCCUAUCAGCUUGUUGGUGGGGUAAUGGCCUACCAAGGCGGCGACGGGUAGCCGGCCUGAGAGGGUGGACGGCCACAUUGGGACUGAGAUACGGCCCAGACUCCUACGGGAGGCAGCAGUGGGGAAUAUUGCACAAUGGGCGCAAGCCUGAUGCAGCGACGCCGCGUGGGGGAUGACGGCCUUCGGGUUGUAAACUCCUUUCGCCAGGGACGAAGCUUUUUGUGACGGUACCUAGAUAAGAAGCACCGGCUAACUACGUG
Molecule: ribosomal RNA, 465 nt
Filed under: uncultured bacterium
Lineage: Bacteria
Description: partial 16S ribosomal RNA
Rfam family: Bacterial small subunit ribosomal RNA
Source: RNAcentral